RNAcentral lists this long non-coding RNA (2967 nucleotides) under Eutrema salsugineum. RNAcentral describes it as "long non-coding RNA (ESAL_LNC000732)". The record is from RNAcentral. Lineage: Eukaryota; Viridiplantae; Streptophyta; Magnoliopsida; Brassicales; Brassicaceae.
GAACGAUGGCCAGGCCGCACAGAAAGAAGGGAAACCCAAAAUGCCUAAGUCCCAGAAGCUGCGGGAUAGGAGUGCGGGUCAGAAGAAAGAUGGCCAGGCCGCAGAAAGACUCGGAAUUUACUCCGAGAUGGUUGUGCGGGUCAGAAGAACGAUGGCCAGGCCGCACAGAAAGGAAGGAAACCCAAAGAGUUUAAGUCCCAAAACCUGCGGGAUGGUUGCGCGGGUCAGAGCAGAGGAUGACCAGGCCGCAGCAUGAAGAGAACGGCCAGAAUGCCUAAGUAACAAAAGCUGCGGGAUGGUUGUGCGGGUCAGAGCAGAGGAUGACCAGGCCGCACGAAAUUUUUUCCGGUUCUACACCGAGACGGUCACACAGCUCGAUCCCGACAGUUCCCGGACGCACAAAAGAGAGAAAGGAGGCCGGUCAAUGAGAAAAGGAUGGGUCAAAGCCUUGACUGGUCAAAAUAGAUCUAUUGACCACCAGUCCAGAGGCUUGACCCUACCCCACACUCUCUCUUCCUCACUACAAACCCGAGUUUGCAACUAUCUCUCACUUUUCUCUCCAUUGUUUUCACCAUAUCUCUCUCAUUUCUCCACCAAAAUUGUUGAUUCAAAGUGCUCUGAGCUCGUUUUUGAGUUGUUAACAUCAUCCUGAUUGCAUUUCGAACUUGUUGCAUCUUAAUCCCAAGGUAUUUCGCCCUGUUGAAACUCAUCUCUUUCCAUGUUCUUCAAUGGUGAUUUUUUGAACUUUAAAGUGUGGAAUCGAUUUUGAUAGGUUGUUUUAGACCUUGGGAUUAUUUUUAUAAAUGCUAGGGUGCUAGAUAGUCUUGGAAAACAGAGCACUUUGUUUGUAAUUACCUGUUCUUGAAUUUUGAAAAUUGUUGCAACAAUUUUUGUACUAACAAUUUUUGAAAAUAUUGUUCAUCCUUGUACUAACAAUAUUUUUGAGAAUCUCUUGGCAGAUGACUGAAAGAACCAACUCUUUGGCCAAGAAGAAGGGCCCUGCAUCAAAAGGCAAAGGUUUGGUCUCAGGAACUUCAAAGCCAAGAAACAAAGGUCAAGGUGCAAAGAAUACUACAAAGCAAGGAAAGUGUGAUCCAGCGCCAAAAAGGACAAGGCCUGAAGGAAGAGCUUUGGUGGUUGCUUCUGGUUCCAAGAAAAAGGGGAAACAGUUGGCUGUGGUAUCUGAGAGUGAACAGACUGAAAGUGACUCCGGCAGCUCAGCUGGUGGUUCCCAAGGCACCAAUGAAGAGGGAUCAAAGAAGUUCAAGAAAACUGAACCAGAAACACCUGAUUAUCUGGCUAAGUUUCAGCAGAUAGAGAUCCAGCAAGGGAGAUUCCCUGAUUUGGACUUUCUGAAGAAGAUUGGCCUCUAUGAAGAUGUCAAGACUUUGCUUGGGAACAUGGGUGUUGAGUCACUUUUGGAGAUGAGAGAAAUCGCUUAUGAGCAAGAGUCCCAAGAGUUCUUGGCCUCCUUUGAAGCUUUCAUUUACUACCCAAGGGAUUCAAGAAUCAUUCAAGGAGAUGGGCUUGGACAUGUGGAGUUUACUGUGAAAGGGAAGGAAUAUUCAGUGUCAUUCAGAGAAUUGAGUAAGAUCUUUGGGUUUUCAGCACCUAGAAAUGAAUUUCUCUCCAACUCGGUCAAUCUCAGAAAAGAUGAGAUCCAACUUCUAUGGAGAUCAAUUGCUUCUGGGAAGUACACAGCUGGAACAGCUAAGGCCUCUUGGAUAAGGAAUCCAGUUCUGAGAUAUGUACACAAGAUUCUCUCUCACAGCUUCUACUUCAAGAUUGAUGUUGGAAGAGUUCACAAAGGAGAUCUGCUGCUUCUGGGUGUAGGGCUGAGGCCGCUGAUGCCAACACAUGAAGAUGGGGAACCCUAUGUAGGGUAUGAAUACCCACUUUGCCUUGCAUCUCAAUUAGCAAGGUCUUUGAUGUUCUACAAAAAGUGCAUGUGGGAUUCUACAAACAAAGAUGCAAAGCUGACCCAUGGAUGGGUGGUAACAAAGAUCUUGAAAGCCAUGGGGUAUAGAUUCAAGGAGAACAAGGCAAAGUUUGAUCUGAUUAAUGAAGCACAUUUGUGUAGGAUUGGCUUUCUCCAAGGAAGAGUGGGUACCAAGGCAGUCUACAACUUCAAGACACUCAUCAGUGAGCCAGCCCAAGUUCUCCUACCCAAUCCCUCCAUCACCACAGUCCAAGUUAAAAGGAACAUUCACUUCUUCUUGCUGAAGGAAGAGCUGUACAAUGUCCAAACUGAUCCACCAAUCCUCACAUACAGGCAAGCUUGCAGAGAAGAAGCCUCCAAGGGAAAGAAAGCAACCGCUGAAGAUGCUACCACAAGUGCAGCUGGUGCUCACGAUGCUGAUCUGCCUCCACCUCAAAAACGUUUUGGUGGAAACAGAUAUCACUUUGAUGAUUACAACUGGGAGGAACCAGGCACUUCAGGGUUCAGAGCUCAACAGAAGAUUGGUAUUCUCCAACAAUGGUGCAAGUACCAAGACAAAACCAUCCACAAGAUGGCCAAGUGCAUCAAGGAGAUGAAGAAGAGGAUCAAGAAGCUUGAAAACCCUUGCAAAGGUGGGGCUCCAGCACCAGUUUCACCAAGGAACAGAGAGGAAGUUGGGGAGAGUUCCAUGAACUGCACAGCCUUGGUCGCAUAUGGAACCACUUGGGUAGAUCUUGACGACGGGAGUGAUGAAGCCAGCCACCAUUCUUGGGAAACACCGUCAGGCCACACAUCGAACCCCUCCUACUCAUUGGGGUCUGAUUUCAACAGCCACUAGGUAACACUCAAAACCUUGUAAAUAGCAUGUAGACUUUCUUUUCCUUUUGCAUUUUGCUUGUUUGCUUUGGUUUCACUUCUUUCUCAUACUUUUAUAACACAAGGGACUGUGUUAUUUAAGUGUGGGGGAGGAGUUUCAUCCUUUACUAACCAUGUUUUCUAUUUUCUCAUUUUACACUUUGAGUCUUGAG